RNAcentral lists this ribosomal RNA (395 nucleotides) under uncultured bacterium. Its description in RNAcentral is "partial 16S ribosomal RNA". It matches the Rfam family "Bacterial small subunit ribosomal RNA", at positions 360 to 773 of the family's 1533-position model. The record is from RNAcentral.
AAUAUUCCACAAUGGGGGAAACCCUGGUGCAGCGACGCCGCGUGAGCGAAGAAGGCCUUCGGGUCGUAAAGCUCUGUCCUAAGGGAAGAAACGGACGGUACCUCAGGAGGAAGCCCUGGCCAACUACCUGCCAGCAGCCGCGGUAAUACGUAGGUGGCGAGCGUUAUCCGUAAUUACUGGGAGAAAAGGGUGCGUAGGCGGCCUUUUAAGUCAGAUGUGAAAGGCUACGGCUUAACCGUAGUUAGCAUUUGAAACUAAAAGGCUUGAGUGCAGGAGAGGAGAGUGGAAUUCCUAGUGUAGCGGUGAAAUGCGUAGAUAUUAGGAGGAACACCAGUGGCGAAGGCGACUCUCUGGACUGCAACUGACGCUGAGGCACGAAAGCGUGGGGAGCGAAC